RNAcentral lists this ribosomal RNA (211 nucleotides) under Clostridioides difficile. Its description in RNAcentral is "partial 16S ribosomal RNA". The stretch from base 1 to 154 matches the Rfam family "Bacterial small subunit ribosomal RNA", at positions 246 to 399 of the family's 1533-position model. The record is from RNAcentral. Lineage: Bacteria; Bacillati; Bacillota; Clostridia; Peptostreptococcales; Peptostreptococcaceae.
UAGUUGGUAAGGUAACGGCUUACCAAGGCGACGAUCAGUAGCCGACCUGCGAGGGUGAUCGGCCACAUUGGAACUGAGACACGGUCCAAACUCCUACGGGAGGCAGCAGGGGGGAAUAUUGCACAAUGGGCGAAAGCCUGAUGCAGCAACGCUGUGAAUGGAGCGAAAGCGUUCGGGUCGGCAACACCGGACGCAGAGCAAGAUGAGGACG